Molecule: ribosomal RNA, 505 nt
Filed under: uncultured bacterium
Lineage: Bacteria
Description: partial 16S ribosomal RNA
Rfam family: Bacterial small subunit ribosomal RNA
Source: RNAcentral
GACGAACGCUGGCGGCGUGCCUAAUACAUGCAAGUAGAACGCACAGUUUAUACCGUAGCUUGCUACACCAUAGACUGUGAGUUGCGAACGGGUGAGUAACGCGUAGGUAACCUGCCUGGUAGCGGGGGAUAACUAUUGGAAACGAUAGCUAAUACCGCAUAAUAUUAAUUAUUGCAUGAUAAUUGAUUGAAAGAUGCAACUGCAUCACUACCAGAUGGACCUGCGUUGUAUUAGCUAGUAGGUGAGGUAACGGCUCACCUAGGCGACGAUACAUAGCCGACCUGAGAGGGUGAUCGGCCACACUGGGACUGAGACACGGCCCAGACUCCUACGGGAGGCAGCAGUAGGGAAUCUUCGGCAAUGGACGAAAGUCUGACCGAGCAACGCCGCGUCAGUGAAGAAGGUUUUCGGAUCGUAAAGCUCUGUUGUAAGAGAAGAACGGGUGUGAGAGUGGAAAGUUCACACUGUGACGGUAUCUUACCAGAAAGGGACGGCUAACUACGUG